Molecule: transfer RNA, 67 nt
Filed under: Clonorchis sinensis
Lineage: Eukaryota; Metazoa; Platyhelminthes; Trematoda; Opisthorchiida; Opisthorchiidae
Description: tRNA-Glu
Source: RNAcentral
GUUGGUUAAGUGUAAGUGAUAGCAUUCCAAUUUUUCGUGUUGGAGGAGGCCGUUUGGUCAACCAGUG